UGCAAACCCAGGUGGUGGUGGU
RNAcentral lists this non-coding RNA (22 nucleotides) under Arabidopsis thaliana (thale cress). Lineage: Eukaryota; Viridiplantae; Streptophyta; Magnoliopsida; Brassicales; Brassicaceae. The record is from RNAcentral.